Molecule: non-coding RNA, 5507 nt
Organism: Oryctolagus cuniculus (rabbit)
Lineage: Eukaryota; Metazoa; Chordata; Mammalia; Lagomorpha; Leporidae
Source: RefSeq, a predicted model, not a curated record
UUAUGUCUUCCCAGGCAUAUCUGCAGAAAGUGGGAUAAGCAGCAGAGCAGCUGAUACUCAAACAGGCACUCUGAAACAGGCUGCCCCACCUGGACACACCACAGCUCAGCACCUCUAAAGCCUUCUCCCUAUGUCACUUGGACUUCCUUGCUCACAAAACGGCACAGUCAUCUCACUCAUUCAAGCCUAAGAUGUAAAUGGAUUGGAGCCACCUUGGCGCACACAGAAAAUGCCGCUCUAUUCAUGGUACACCACGAGCUUCCACUUCUGAUUGCUUUUUUGAGACAACCGUGUUGCACUUGCCCUCUGGAAGCCCCCAGUGCAGUCUGCAAACUGCCAGAACAGAGGUGGAUGGGCUGCUUUUUGCUGGCAGGCUCCCUGCAUGUCCUCUACUUGGGAACUGACAAAGAACAUUCCUGUGGAGUUCCUAUCACGUGGGACAAGGACACCAGGGCUCGCAGUGAGGUGAAGCUUCCUAAUGAGGGCCACACAGCUGACGCUGGGACCUAGGACUGCAUCGCUCUGACGCUCAUGCAGCCAAAGCCUUGGCCAGGGUUCUGAAGUCCAUGUCUGAUGGAGGGCCAGCACAGCGACCCACAUCUCAUGCAAAAACUGACUGAUGCGGUGUCAUCCCGGAGGGCCCACCCACGGUAGGACCUGCAUCUUAUGUGAUAUGAGAGGCCAGUGAGAACGGUAGAGAAUGUGGGUAUAAUGUGAGCUAGAGAUUAAACACGGGGGUAGUGCAUCAUGUACACAUUAAUUCUGACUAGGAUAGAGCCUCAGUAUUGACUAACGAAGUCAUUUAUUCAUUCAAACAACAGAUAGCAGGCAUCUGCUACAGCCGAGUCUGUCUGCAGGGUGCUGGAGAUAUAACAGUAGGGAGGCAGUCCUGGGGCACGGUCCUCCCCGAAAUGAAGAAAACAAGCAAAUGAGCGACUCUUCUAAGUGCAAGGGGAUGCAUGAGGGCUAUGGGGACAUUCCAGAGGGGCACCCAGUCCGGAUUUUUGAGGACGAUGGCAGGGAAGGUGGCGUGGAGAAGGAAAUGCAUAGACCUGAACCGGGGGCUAAGUGCUGGGGACAGACCUGCAGAGGGCCCCAAGUGAAAGCCACUACAGUGGCACAGGGGCUGAGGGUGGAGCAGACUGAAGCUUUCAGCACUUGGGGAAACAGGUAGGAGAUGAGGGCACAGUGGAAGCAGGAGGCAGUGUAGGAAGAAUCUUGUAAGUAUCGCUUACAUGUCUGGAUGCUAACUGGAUGAUUUUAAUUAGGAAACGGCACAAUCAGAUCUGCAGUUUGAGCUUCUGGCUGCAAGGGAGGGAAAAAUGGGGGUAAGGCAAAAGGGGUAUUAGACUGGUCUGUGCAAGAGAGAUCAGGGUUGGGACCAGCUCUGUAGCGUAGAAGGUUAAGCUUCCUCCUGUGGUGCCGGCAUCCCAUAUUGGGCACUGGUUUGAGUCUCAGCUGCUCCACUUUGGAUCCAGCUCCCUGCUAAUGGCUUGGGAAAGCAGCAGAAGAUGGUCCAAGUGCUUGGGUUCCUGCACCUGUGUGGGAAACCCAGGAAAAGCUCUUGGCUUUGGCCUGGCCCAGCUUAGGCUAUAGCAGCUAUUUGGGGAGUGAUUCAGCAGAAGGAAGAUCUCUUUCUCUCUCUCUCCUUCACUCUGCCUUUCAAAUAAAUUUUUAAAAAAGAGAGCGAGCAGGGCCAGGAGUCAGGGCUAAGAAAGGAAAAUGACAGUGCCACCCGUGCCAAGAUCUGUUCAUGGAGUCAGAGGACGUCAUGAGCCCAGGUCCAUUUCUGUGCAUAGCCCAGAUGAAAACUCCGAAAUGCAACUGGACUUGAGGUCUGGGCCGCUGCAGUGUUGAGAUCUGAACCGUCAGGAUGAGGAUGGACACGGUGCCAAGGGAAAGGACACACGAGGGUGUUACGUGUGUGUGGAUAUUGUCAACGAGACCAGACCCUUCCAGAUAGUUCAACUCUGCUGAGUCUACGGCAAGAGAAGGCACAAAGCAGCAGCCAAGGUCAGGGGGAGACGGAAAUCCUGGCACAAAAUCCGAAUGGGAGUGAAGAGCCUCCUCUCAAGCCAGGUGAGGGACGAAAGUCUUAGACACUUGCUGCUACUACUUUCCUCUUGAUUCGGGGUGCCUGUGUAUCAAGUGCUUGCUCUGUGAUCUGAUGGGCAACACAGCGGCAGUGACAAGGAUGACGGGCAGCACAGGGCCAGAGAGGGGCCUGGGCACUAUGGGAAAGAUGACAACAGGUAGGACUCCAUACACGCUCCAUGACUGGGAGGAGGGAGAGACAGCACCAAGUUGUGGACAGAGCAAGGCAUCUGAUAAGGUGGGAGCUGAAUAAGGGAGCAGUGGGUGUGGGAGGGGGGACGAGGAGAUGAUGGCUGUGUGGUGGGUGGCAGAGGACGGGCAGGGUCUGGAGCUGCCAGAGAAGCAUUGUCCCAAAGCGAUGGGGAUGUGGUGAGGACUCACGGAGUCGUGGGCUGCAGGGCUGUGGGCAGUUGGGAGCCAGGCUCUUGGUCCCUGGGGUCCUCGCAGGAGAGGUUCAGGGGCUCCUGGUUGGAGGGAAGGGGCCUGCAGUGAUGGAGGACCUGCUUGCUGGGCUCUGGCAAGUUGACUUCAUCAUCUCCUUUAACAGUAAGAACUCUGUGGAGUACAGCUUCAGCCCCAGCCAUUGUCAGGUGUGGGGACGCAGGCUCAGAGGACAGAGUAACGUUCCCAGAGCUACCAAGCACAGAGCUAAGAUUUGAAUCAGGGUGUCUCUGUUCAAAGACAGGCCUGGUCCAGCAGAUGAACUGGGAAUCAACUUGCAAUCAUGCGGAGCCUGCCUCAUGGAAUUCGCCUAUUGCCUACCCUAGUCUUUUUUUUUUUUUUUUUUAAUAGGUAUUUAUUUGAGAGGUGGAGUCACAGAGAGAGGGAGAGAAAGAGGUCUUCCAUCCACUGGUUCACUGCUCAAAUGGUCUCAGUGACUGGAGCUAGAUGCAUCCAAAGUCAGUAACCAGGAGCUUCUUACACAUCUCCCACAAGGGUGCAGGGGCCCAAGCACUUGGGCCAUCUUCCACUGCUUUCUCAGGCCUUCAGCAGAGAACUGGAUGGGAAGUGGAGCAGCUGGGUCUUGAACUGGUGCCCAUAUGGGAUGCUGGUGCAUCAGACAGAGGCUUAACCUACUACUCUACAGCAUUGGCCCCUACCCCAUUCUCUUGUUGCCUUAUUCUAUACGGUAGUCUCUAGUCUUCAGAAUACCAGUUCUUUAACUGGAAGGCACUGGGCAUUCCUUUGGAUACAGGCAGAGUGUAAGUAAACAAUAACACUGUUGACUGAAUGAAGAAAUGGAUGGGAAGCAGGAGCUAUGGCCUAUCAGGAUUGUCUCGUUGACCCAGGUGGGGCCUCAUCUAGAAGUGGCCAUUGGGCCAACAGGACCAUCAUUUCUGGGUAGGACAAAGACCUUUUUCAGAGACAGAGACAUAAGGAUUCCCCUGUGCCUCCAAUAAGUCACAAGUUGUGACUGCCGCUUUAAAAACUCCAAGUGGUAGGGGCUGGCAUUGUGACACAGCAGGUUAUGUAGCUGCCUAAGAUGCCCCCACCCCAUAUAGGCACUGUUUUGAGUCCUGACUCCUCCAUUUACCAUAUGGCUCCCUGCUAAUAGCCUGGGAAAGCAGCAGAAGAUGGCCCAAGUACUUAGGCCCCUACACCCAUAUGGGAGACCUGGAUGGAGUUCCAGGCUCCUGGCUUCACCGGGCCUAGCCCCAGCCAUUGCAGUGAUUGGGAGAGUGAACCAGGGACUCGAAGAGUUCUCUCUCUUUGUCUCAUCCUCUCUGCCUUUCAAAUAAAAUGCACACAUCUUAACACAAAAACCAAAAAACUCCAAGUAGCUAAUUAGAACCUAAUGGGUGGCAGUCGGCCCCAGACUCUGAGUUUCCCUUACUGGCUGUUAGCACAACAGAUCCUGCCUGUGGAACACAUCUCCUUCAGAAUCCAAAGGCUGGGAGCUGGGAGGGGAGAGGCGGACCUGCUAUGGACCCAGAGCAACAGCAAAGGGGAUCUAAGCAUGUUCCUUACUCAGUAUUAGGAUGUGAAACCAGCAGGUCAUAGUCCAGAAAUGAAACGCGAUGAAGUCUAGGAUUUAAUUGGAGCACAGAUCUAUAGUAUUCCCAUGCUGCCCUGAGAAACAGCUGGCUUGGUGACACGAAUGCAGUUAGGGUCCCAUGUGACUUGGCAGUGCUGAACUGUGCAUCUGGCCAAGUGGAAGGAGACAUGGCAGACCAGUAGCCUCCCAGAAGCCAUACAGAACCAAGCCCAGAGCAGUGCACUCUCAGUGGGAGAUAAUGAAGCCAUCCUGCUUGGGCUUGUGCUUGUUUUGGGGAAGCAGGGGAGAAGGUUAUCUCCAGCAGGGAGGACAAAAAGUGUCACCCACAGUUACCGUAAGGAGACAGGGCACUGCACCGGGGAACCACCUCCCAGUGGGCCCCACCCAGGCUGCAGAUGUCAGAGCCUGGGGCAUUCAUCCUGCUCAUUGGCUUGAGGAUGUACUCUGGUUUUGAAAAUUAAUAUAUUAGGAUAAUGUUUUAGAAGAAGGAGGUAACAAGCCUUCCUGAUGUACCAGAAGGCCAGGUGUGUGCCAGGCACCUGUGCCCACAGAGGCAGGGCUUGUCUUCAGACAGGAUGUGCAGGUCCCACCACCACUGACUGCGCAGGGCUAGAAGUGGGGCGGUGGCACUUGAGCUACAGAUUCACUACCCUUGAUGUUCAAGAGCCAACAACAAUAUUCUCGCUGCUCUGAUUUGACAUGGGUUGUUUUCCUUUGGAAAGGCACCAACGAUGUAAGUUAGCCUCCAGGCAAAUGCUGUCCUCUGAAAAACUUUAUAUGAGAGAAUGUGUGUGUGUUUAUUAAAGUUUUAUACAUAUUAUUUUAAUUGAUAGGCAGAGACCUAAAGGGAGAGCUCCCAUUUCCUGCUUCACUACUCCAAUGCCUGCCACACUCCAGCCUGGGGCCAGGGCAAAACUGGGAGCUCAAUUCAGGUUUUCCGCGUGGGUGGCAGAAACCCAACUGCUUUAUGCAUAACCCUUGCUCUCAGGAUUUGCAUCAGCAGGAAGCUGGAGUCAGGAGCCAGAGCUGGGAUUCAAACUCAAGUACUCUGAUGUGGAACUCGGGCAUCUUAAUUGGCAUGUUCCUUGAGAGGCCAAAGGCCCACAGCAGCAUCCAUGUUUUUAAACUGCUACUCUACUUCCUUUUCUUGACUUGGCUAAGUCUUUACGUUCAUUUUUGAAAAUAGGGUGGGCACUGUGGUCAGCAGGUUAAGCUGCUGCUUUGGACACCUGCAUCCCAUAGUGGAGCACCUGGGACCCAGUCCUGACUCCGCACCCCAUCCAGUUUCCCGUUACUGCACGUCCUGGGAGGCGGCAAAUGAUGGCUUCCAUACUUCAGUCCCUGCCACCCCUGUGGGAGGCCUGGAUGCAGUGCCUGGCUCCUGGCUUUGGCCUGUCCCAGCCUUGGUGGCUAUGGG